CCUACGGGAGGCAGCAGUGGGGAAUAUUGGGCAAUGGGCGCAAGCCUGACCCAGCAACGCCGCGUGAAGGAAGAAGGCUCUCGGGUUGUAAACUUCUUUUUAGAGGGGAGAGCAGAAGACGGUACCUCUUGAAUAAGCCACGGCUAACUACGUGCCAGCAGCCGCGGUAAUCCGUAGGGGGCAAGCGUUGUCCGGCAUUACUGGGUGUAAAGGGCUUGCAGGCGGGAAGAAAAGUCAGAUGUGAAAUCCAGCGGCUCAACCGCGGUACUGCCUUUGAAACUGUUUUUCUUGAGUACCGGAGAGGUCAUCGGAAUUCCUUGUGUAGCGGUGAAAUGCGUAGAUAUAAGGAAGAACACCAGUGGCGAAGGCGGAUGACUGGACGGCAACUGACGGUGAGGCGCGAAAGCGUGGGGAGCAAACAGGAUUAGAUACCCUGGUAGUC
This 442-nucleotide ribosomal RNA is filed under the name uncultured bacterium. Its description in RNAcentral is "partial 16S ribosomal RNA". It matches the Rfam family "Bacterial small subunit ribosomal RNA", at positions 338 to 795 of the family's 1533-position model. The record is from RNAcentral.